Molecule: transfer RNA, 84 nt
Filed under: Oscillospiraceae bacterium
Lineage: Bacteria; Bacillati; Bacillota; Clostridia; Eubacteriales; Oscillospiraceae
Description: tRNA-Leu
Rfam family: tRNA
About the family: Transfer RNA (tRNA) molecules are approximately 80 nucleotides in length. Their secondary structure includes four short double-helical elements and three loops (D, anti-codon, and T loops). Further hydrogen bonds mediate the characteristic L-shaped molecular structure. tRNAs have two regions of fundamental functional importance: the anti-codon, which is responsible for specific mRNA codon recognition, and the 3' end, to which the tRNAs corresponding amino acid is attached (by aminoacyl-tRNA synthetases). tRNAs cope with the degeneracy of the genetic code in two manners: having more than one tRNA (with a specific anti-codon) for a particular amino acid; and 'wobble' base-pairing, i.e. permitting non-standard base-pairing at the 3rd anti-codon position.
Source: RNAcentral
GCUGGUGUGGUGAAAUCGGCAGACACAAGGGACUUAAAAUCCCUCGGGGGCAACUCCGUACCGGUUCAAGUCCGGUCACCAGCA